UAGAGUUUGAUCAUGGCUCAGAUUGAACGCUGGCGGCAGGCCUAACACAUGCAAGUCGAACGGUAACGGGAAGAAGCUUGCUUCUUUGCCGACGAGUGGCGGACGGGUGAGUAAUGUCUGGGGAUCUGCCCGAUAGAGGGGGAUAACCACUGGAAACGGUGGCUAAUACCGCAUAAUGUCGCAAGACCAAAGUGGGGGACCUUCGGGCCUCACACUAUCGGAUGAACCCAGAUGGGAUUAGCUUGUUGGUGGGGUAAUGGCUCACCAAGGCGACGAUCCCUAGCUGGUCUGAGAGGAUGACCAGCCACACUGGAACUGAGACACGGUCCAGACUCCUACGGGAGGCAGCAGUGGGGAAUAUUGCACAAUGGGGGCAACCCUGAUGCAGCCAUGCCGCGUGUAUGAAGAAGGCCUUAGGGUUGUAAAGUACUUUCAGCGGGGAGGAAGGGGAAAAGGUUAAUAGCCUUUUUCAUUGACGUUACCCGCAGAAGAAGCACCGGCUAACUCCGUGCCAGCAGCCGCGGUAAUACGGAGGGUGCAAGCGUUAAUCGGAAUUACUGGGCGUAAAGCGCACGCAGGCGGUCUGUUAAGUCAGAUGUGAAAUCCCCGGGCUCAACCCGGGAACUGCAUUUGAAACUGGCAGGCUGGAGUCUUGUAGAGGGGGGUAGAAUUCCAGGUGUAGCGGUGAAAUGCGUAGAGAUCUGGAGGAAUACCGGUGGCGAAGGCGGCCCCCUGGACAAAGACUACGCU
RNAcentral lists this ribosomal RNA (750 nucleotides) under uncultured bacterium. Its description in RNAcentral is "bacterial SSU rRNA". It matches the Rfam family "Bacterial small subunit ribosomal RNA", at positions 1 to 747 of the family's 1533-position model. The record is from RNAcentral.